Non-coding RNA from Tetranychus urticae (two-spotted spider mite), 2942 nucleotides. The record is from RefSeq and is a predicted model, not a curated record. Lineage: Eukaryota; Metazoa; Arthropoda; Arachnida; Trombidiformes; Tetranychidae.
UGAAAAAUGAGACAAAACUAUUUCUUUUGCUCCUUGAUAUUAUUGAAUUCAGUUUCACAGAAUUCAGUUUUCUUUCCGUCUCGUUUGAAAAGAGCGCUUUACUCAGGUUGAAAGUUGUUUUUGGGCCAAUAUUCUAGUCCUUUGUUAGGAGCCAAAACUUUUUCAAAUUUUGUCAGUUUUACUUUUGUUUUCAGUUGAAACAACUUGUUCUUCCACCUUUUUUCCUGUUAAGAGAUUCAUACUCAAAUUGAUAUUAUUUGUUUAAAAUGGAACAACACAAUGAUAAUUCUGAUAAAACAACAUUCAAAGUAGACUUUCUAGGUGAAUGUCAUGAAGUAGUCAUUGAUUGGAAUGAUGAUAAAUACAAAUACAAAUACAAAAGAUUUCAAUUAUUCGAACUGCUUGAAUCAAUAACUGGAGUACCGCGUGAAUUAAACAUGGGAAUUAUUCUUUACCAGGCGGAGAAUAGACAGCCACGUUAUCAUACCAUUUCCAUCUUUUACAUUUCAGACUACCCUAAUGAUGAGGAGAUCUGUGAUUCAAUUAGAGAUGCUGGACGUUUUCGUCUCACUUUUGGGGCAACUUAUGAUUUCAAGCAACCUUCUAUUUUUUAUGCUCUAGUACCUGAAAGUUCGGAGCCAGGAGGAGGAUGCAGUUUUCAUUUCUGUCGAUAUAAGCAUACUAAGAGUUUCUUUAACAAGGUGAAGGAUAUCAUCACUAACGAGAAAUUGAAUGCAAAAAUUGCGUCUGCUAUCCAAUCAUUAAGAGAUGAUGGCGAUUAUGUUGAGGUUCUCAGACAAUUCAAUGUUCUGCAAUAUUUCCGUUCAAUGUGUGAUUAUCAUUAUACGAGGAGAAUUGUAAAUGAAGAUCAAAGACUUGUUUCUGGCAGAAAACACCCUUAUUUGAGGACACGCGGCUAAUUGCACCAACAAGAAGAGUAAACUCUUCAAUAAACUUAAAUAAAUGGAUAAAUAAAAUGAUGAGUUGAUGAGAAGUUGAGUUAAAAUUAUUAAUAUUUAUUACUUGGUAUUAUUGCAUUCAUUUUCUCAGAAUUCACAGUUUCUUUCAGUCUCGUUUGAAAAGAGCGCUUCGCUCAGGUAUAAACUUGUUUUUAGAACCAAAAUCUUAUUACUUUGUUAGGUACUGAAACUUUUUCAAAUUUUGUCAGUUUACUUUUGUUCCAGUUGAAACAACUAGUUCUAUGAUAUUAUUCGUGUUAAAAUGGAACAACAGAAUGAUAAUUCUGAUAAAACUACAUUCAAAGUAGACUUUCUAGGUGAAUAUCAUGAUGUAGUCAUUGAUUGGAAUGAUGAUAAAUAUAAACUCAAAGGGAUACAAUUAUUCGAACAGCUUGAAUCAAUAACUGGAGUACCGCGUGAAUUUAACUCCCAUAUGUUUCUGCAGUAUCACCAGGUGGAAGAUGAGGAGCCCCUUUAUCAUUUCAUUUACAGCCAUGGAGAUUCCAAUAUUUCCCCUAAUAAGGAGGAGAUCUGUGAUUCAAUCAGAAAUGCUGAAGGACGUUUUCAUCUCGCUUAUCAGGCUAAUUAUGGGUUUAAGGGAUCUUCUAUUUGUUAUGUUCUAGUACCUGAAAGUUCGGUACCUGAAGGAGAAUGCAGUUUUCAUUUCUGUCGAUAUAUAAAUACUAAAAGAUUCUUUAACAAGGUGAAGGAUAUCAUCACUAACGAGAAAUUGAACGCAAAAAUUGCGUCUGCUAUCCAAGCAUCAAGAGAUCCUGCUAAUGAGAAUGAUAUUCUUAGACAAUUCGAUGUUCUAAAAUAUUUCCAUUCUAUGUGUGACGAUCUUUAUACGAGGCAAUACAUGCAUGGAGAUGAACAAUUAAGACGUAUGUUUUGUCAAAAAAACCUUUACUUGAGAACUCGUGGCUGAUUGAACCACCAAGAAGAGUCUCUUCAAUAAAUUAAAAUAGAAUAAUAAAUAAAUGAUAAAACUAGACAAAUCUAUUAUUUUUUUCAUUUUCAUUGCAUUCAGUUUCACAGAAUUCAGUUUUAUUUCCGUCUCGUUUGAAAAGAGCGCUUUGCUCAGGUUGAAACUUGUUUUUGGGCCAAUAUCUUAGUACUUUGUUAGGAACAAAAACUUUUUCAAAUUUUGUCAGUUUUACUUUUGUUUUCCGUUGAAACAACUUGUUCUUCCACCUUUUUCCUAUUCAAAGAUUCAUAAACAUAUUGAUAUUAUUUGUUUAAAAUGGAGCAACAGAAUGAUAAUUCUGAUAAAACAACAUUCAAAGUAGAGUUUCUAGGUGAAUAUCAUGACUUAGUCAUUGAUUGGAAUGAUGAUAAAUAUAUUUACAAAGCGAGACAAUUAUUCAAACAGCUUGAAUCAAUUACUGGAGUACCGUGUAAAUUCAACCCCGAAAUUCUUCUGCAUCAUUUCCAGGUGGAAGAUGAGACUCCACAUUAUUACAACAUUUACAGCUUUGUAGAUUCCAAUAUUUCCCCUAAUAAGACGAUGAUUUGUGAUUCAAUUAGAAAUGCUGAAGGACGUUUUCAUCUCGCUUAUAAUGCUGUUUAUCCACAUAUUGGUUAUUUUCUAGUACCUGAAAGUUCGGUGCCAGAAGGAGAAUGCAGUUUUUAUUUCUGUCGACAUAAAAAUACUAAAAGUUUCUUUAACAAGUUGAAGGAUAUCAUCACUAACGAUGAAUUGAACGCAAAAAUUGCGUCUGCUUUCCAAUCAAGAGAAUCCAAUUUUGAUGAGAUUCUCAGACAAUUCGAUGUUCUAAAAUAUUUCCGUUCUAUUUGUGAUGAUCUUUAUACGAGAAGAUUUGUAAAUGAAGAAGAAAGACGUAUUUUUUGUCAAAGAAACCUUUAUUUGAGAACUCGCGGCUGAUUGGACCAACAAGAAGAGUCUUUUCAAUAACUUAAAUAAAUGAAUAAAUAAAAUGAUGAAAUUUGAGAUAAAAUUAUUAUAUAAUUUAUUACUUUAUA